Molecule: ribosomal RNA, 405 nt
Filed under: uncultured bacterium
Lineage: Bacteria
Description: partial 16S ribosomal RNA
Rfam family: Bacterial small subunit ribosomal RNA
Source: RNAcentral
GAUGAACGCUGGCGGCGUGCCUAAUACAUGCAAGUCGAGCGAAGCGGGGACGGGUGAGUAACACGUGGAUAACCUCCUAUAAGACUGGGAUAACUUCGGGAAACCUGAGCUAACCCCGAUACUUAUCGAUGGAUCCGCGCUGCAUUAGCUAGUCGGUAAGGUAACGGCUUACCAAGGCAACGAUGCAUAGCCGACCUGAGAGGGUGAUCGGCCACACUGGAACUGAGACACGGUCCAGACUCCUACGGGAGGCAGCAGUAGGGAAUCUUCCACAAUGGGCGCAAGCCUGACGGAGCAACGCCGCGUGAGUGAAGAAGGCCUUCGGAUCGUAAAGCACUGUUAGUAGGGAAGCGGUACCUAAACAGAAAGCCCCGGCUAACUACGUGCCAGCAGCCGCGGUAAUAC